AUAAGGUCUUUAUGGCGAUCACGGAAGCGCAUUCUCGGCGCCUGGCAGCAAUCGCUGGCGGCAGUGAGAAGCUGGAUUGAAAGACAUCUCCAAGUGAUUUUCCCGCGCUAGGGUGGGGGGAAAAUUAUUUCUAGGGUUUAUGAUCGCGGACGAUCCACGAGUGGAUUGGAGAAGCGCAUUGACGGAUUGGAUUGGAGGUAUGCCGCGCUGCUCGAGAGAUUCAAGCGGCCGAAGAUUGGGGCCGGGAUUCCCGUGAAGCCGCCAUUGGCACCAAAGAAGCCGCUGGAUGAUUGGGACAUUGAGGAGGAUUUCGAGCCGACUAGGAAAUGCAAAUCGCUGCUCAAGAAGAGAUGGGGAUGCUUACCGGACGAAUGCCAUGAUUCUGUAAAGACGCUCCAGAAGAUGGAAUUUUAGUUGGAAAGCAAAGACUCUACGACUACUUGGCUGGUGGAGUAUAUUUUGCACAGUCUGCAACGCGAAGACCCCGCUAUCAACAGGAUUGGAGGAAUUAGAGACAAGGAGGAGCUCUGGUGGCUUAUAGAGAAUCUCAAGGGAAGGAUUUCCAUGAGAGACAAGCUUCCAAUGAAGGAUCCGCUGUGGGAGCAUCAAUCAACGAAAUGUAUCCGUGCCGAGAACCGCUUGAGACGUUUCUUACAAGAUCUAGCCCGGAGAGAUUACAGUGGUAAAGCUUGGAGGAGGCAAACACCGGUGUAUGCAUUUGUUCUCAACUGGAAGUAGCACGAUGAAGGUCAGAUCAUUCCGAGAAUACAGUGUCACAUUCCAACAGCUUUUAAAAUGGUCGUCCAAAACUCGCUGGAUUCCAUCGUU
This is a long non-coding RNA of Selaginella moellendorffii, 828 nucleotides long. RefSeq lists it as uncharacterized. The record is from RefSeq and is a predicted model, not a curated record. Lineage: Eukaryota; Viridiplantae; Streptophyta; Lycopodiopsida; Selaginellales; Selaginellaceae. The transcript has 7 exons.